Molecule: long non-coding RNA, 231 nt
Filed under: Bos taurus (domestic cattle)
Lineage: Eukaryota; Metazoa; Chordata; Mammalia; Artiodactyla; Bovidae
Description: long non-coding RNA NONBTAT011838
Source: RNAcentral
UCUGACAAGGUACCUUAAUUUAAGCCCUUAGAUUCAGUCGCUCAUAUUCUCUUAGCCCAUUGGUCAUGUAUGCUUGUCUCUGUUUCAUUCACUUCAACAAGCUGAACCCUGAAGUACCAUGUUUCUAAGGGAUGUCCUUCCUAACUACUGAUUACUAUACUGUAAGAGGCAACUCACACUUAAUUAGGAAAAUUUCAUUUAUUAGCCAUUGGAAAUAUAUACCACACGUGG